GAGAGCCAAAUGAAUCGAAAAGUUCAUGUUUGUUUCGGGAAGGGAUCAUGGAAUUUUUGAAAUGAAUGGAAAGAUAAUCUACUUUCAU
Molecule: non-coding RNA, 88 nt
Organism: Helianthus annuus (common sunflower)
Lineage: Eukaryota; Viridiplantae; Streptophyta; Magnoliopsida; Asterales; Asteraceae
Source: Rfam